UGGGGCCUCUGAUUUCUACCUCCAGCACUUGGAUUCCAUGCUGGAGCAGGUAUCACCCCUAACUCCAAGAUUCAGCAUAAAUCCUGCCUGAUCUCUGUAUUCUCCAUAGUGGAACAUGCAAAAAAAUCACUGUCUGUGCUAGUUUGACAUGGUGGGUUGUCUCAGCAUUUGGGGAUCUUCUACUCCCCUCUGCUGCCCCAGCAACAUCACUGCCAACCACUGCAGCUCUCUCCUGUCCCCAUUGAAGUGAUGGGUUAAUGGUUGGAGUAGAUGAUCUUAACGGUCUUUGCAACCUUAAUGAUUCAAUGAUUCAGUGAUUCGAUGAUUAAAUGAUUCAGUGAUUCAACCAUUCAAUGGUUCAAUGAUUCAACGAUUCAACAAUUCAAAGAUUGUAAUAAACAAUAAACACAAGUCCUCACGCCAUCCCAACAGCAUCCCAUAGCUCACGUGCAGGGCGCUGGAGCCCCACAUCUCCUGCCUUCAAACACAACCAUGGGAGCAGAGCUCACAUGAGAUCCGCACCCAGACUUCGAAUAGCCGAGGAAGUGACACAAGAGAGAAGCAUUGAUUGGAUUCGAUGAGUCAAGAGGACAACUUGCCCGAAGGAGCACAAUCUGUUUGUAAAUAAACCCAUCACCAUUCAUCUGGAUGCCUUACAACCCACUUGGAAAAAUUAGAGACAGUAUAAAAGCUGCUUGGUUCCGUAGUCCAUCACUCGCUCAUCGUUGCGCUGUUGAACGUGUUAUCAGAACCAAGAAGGGGCCACUGCUCAGAGAUGUGUUCCAGACAGAGCUCCGGAGGCUGCCAUGAAUCAUCCUCCCAGUCUGGGGGAUGCUGCGGUGGGGGCAGCUCCUCCAGCUACCAGUCACAGGGCUCCUCCUGCUGCGGGGGCUCCUCCGGAUACAGCAUGGGAGGAGGAUACGGCAGUGGCAGUGGGGGAU
This 941-nucleotide long non-coding RNA is filed under the name Coturnix japonica (Japanese quail). RNAcentral describes it as "lncRNA (ENSCJPG00005014102.1)". Lineage: Eukaryota; Metazoa; Chordata; Aves; Galliformes; Phasianidae. The record is from RNAcentral.